AAUAAAUCUUAAAAAAAAAAAAAAAGAAACGUGAGGUGAAGCUGACUGACAGUUCCACUACCCAGGAACAGGGGUGCUUCUGCCCAUGGCUUGUCCACGGCGGAUGAAGACCCAGGUUUCAUGAGAAGAGUGAGUACCCUCUCCGCCCAGACUUGGGGAGGGACUGUCACCUGCCUCUCUGCACCCAGGCUUCAGGGGAACUGUCACCUGUUCUACCCUGUUGUCACUGGCUACUGCCCAGGUCCACACCACACCAGGCCCUGAUAUGGGUGCCCCUCACUUAAGCUGACCUCUGUUCUGAGCAGACCCUCUCACUUCUCGUGGAGGUAGGUGAGUGUCCCAACUCCUGACUCCGGGGAGAAGAGAUACACAGCUUCCUGCAGUAGCCACGCACUGUCCUGGGAUAUCCAUGUGGUGCAGCCACAAGCACUUGGGCCCCCAGACAUAACUCCAGUCCCCCCCUUUGACAGACAAACAACCUUUCUCCGGCCCCAUGUCCCCACUCUUCUCGAUAUUCUGCUCCCCAGGUGACUCCAGCACCAUGUUUAAGCCCUGGCUGUGAUGAUCCUGCCUGGGCUCUCUGUCCCCAGUCUGCCAUGUAACUCAUUUCUCACACCCCACCCCCACCCCAGCAUAAGACUGGUUCAGACCUCUGUUGGGACGCUAAGGUGGUUGCCCUGAGCUUCCAAGGGCUUUGUCUGUCCUGUGGGGUACGUCCUGUGGGGUACAAGUCAAGCUCUGGCAGAGGACACAGACUGGGUUUCAUCCUCCAACUGUCUGGUGCCCUCAGCUCUGCCGGGGUGCCAGAGGGCAACUUCCUCCCCCAUCCUCUAACCUUCUGCACCCUGAGGCUACCCAUUCUUCAGAUAGCCCUAGAGGCUCUCUCACCACUUCUUGUGUCCCCAGGGCUCACUGUUCCCUUCCCAUCAUGCUACAUGGACUGUUGCAGGUAACACCUGGGGAUGUCCUGAACAGUUUUGCGCCUGCUGCCGGGAAUCUCUCCUUGGUUUGCUCAGUUCACCUCGGGGCAGCCACUUCACCUGUGUCCAGCCUGUCUGCAGACGUGGUCCUAUCAGGCAGAACCGUAAGAGAGAUAAAAGCCUCCUAAAGGCUUAAGAUCUUACUGCAGAGGAGCGAUAAGCCACAGAGAGCUGCUAUCAGAUAGGGGCCGGGUGCUGUCAACAAUAGGAGUGUCUGCCUUCUAGCCACGGACAGCUGCUGGGGGUGGGCGGGUGGGGGGAGGGAGUCAGUCACUUGCAGUGCUGAGGAGACACCAGGAAGAGGCAAACCAAUUAGACUCCCUAAUCACCUGUGUAGGACACGGAGUCAGGAGGCUGAGAAACUGCAGGAAUAAACAGGACUGAGAGGACAGGCCUCACCGUGAAACAGCUGCCCUGGGCCCGGGACUCGCCAGGAGGAGCGCAAACCGGAGGGCUGUCAAGGCAGGGGCUCCCUGGAGCUACUCUGCUGUCCUGACUCUAACCACCAUGGUCCUCGAAGAGCCUCCUCCAAUCUCCAACUCAGACCACUCCAUGGAGUGAGCCUUCUUCAUGCCACUUAAGCUCCGUCUUUCAUGCUCACAUGGGCCCCAGGUUCCCAAAGCUAAUCUGCAAGGGAUUGUCUGAGCCACAGGGCCCAGAGCCCACCUCAUCCAUUCUGCAGUCAGCAGCCGGCACCCACAGCGUCCACGCGCAAUCACCCGCACCUGCCUCAUGAGUCAAUGGGCCCAAAUUGCGGGGCGCGGCAGACGCCCCACCGAGAACAAGGAACACAAAGGGCUCUGCGCUUCAAGCUGUGGGUGGGAAUUACAAAAGGUUAAGAGACUAAAUAUAAAAAGCCCUUUGAAUAUAAAAUCAAUGUGCUUUGUUGCUAAAAUCUGGGUGCUGUAAUUUAUCCAAAAUAGGACUUGCAAUAUCUGGCAAUAAUCCAUGCCUAGGAAUUGUCGGUUCUGCUCAUCGAAAUGCAAAUAGUCUACUGGAAACUUAAAAACAAUUAAAACAACUGAAAUAUUUCAUACCAACA
Molecule: small RNA, 2022 nt
Filed under: Rattus norvegicus (Norway rat)
Lineage: Eukaryota; Metazoa; Chordata; Mammalia; Rodentia; Muridae
Description: uncharacterized LOC108351067
Source: RNAcentral